AACAGGGAGAACAAUUUAUUCCAGAUAGCUAAACUUAUAUGAGGUAUUAAAAACUCAGGCCCAUAUUCAACAUUGAGAUCGAAUGCAGCCCACAAAUAAUGAAACCCUAGAUUCUUCUCCAAGUAUUCAGUAUCUAUAAAUUCACCCACCAAAUCAAUAAUUCUACCAUCUCUACAACCACUGCAAUCUGCAGGGGAACUCAUCGGCUAGCUUUCAUGGAGUUUCUGUUUAAAGUAAUGGUCACAUCUAAUAAUGUACAAAGAAAGUGAGAGCUAUUUUUCAGCGCUCUCAUGAAGGGGCUUUGAUUUAGAUAAGUUGGUUGAAGUUAAAAAAUUUAUUUAAUGAGGUUGCUUUAGAAAUUGUGUGGCUUAAUGAAUCGUGACAUUUUAUUCUUGUUAUUAUCUUUGAAUGUAGUUAAUGAAAUAAUAUUUGGAAUGAUUCAUUAGGCUCACACAGUUUCCCAAGCAACAAUAUUUUAAACGAUUUUUGCUUCGACGAACUUAUAAUUUAUUUAAAGCCCUUUGAUGAGAGUGUCGAAAUUUAGCUACAUGUGUUCCUAUUUUUUUGGGUAAGUUUUGAUGAUUGAAAGAUGCCAUCAAAAUAUAGCCUUCUAGGCAUGCUCAGGUCAUCUAUUAAGGUAAAAACAAUACUGUAUUUAUUUUUAAAUUCUUUUACUGUAUUUGUUUAGAAAGGUUUCUAUUACCUAUUUUAUUAUUUUGCCUACUAAUAUCAAAAUCCAGAAUAUGCAGAGCUUGGACUAGUGCAACUUGUUUCGAUCCUGUAUGGAUGGAUUUUUUUCUGAUUUUUUUAUUUUAUGUUUUGUAAUCUUUAAAGUAGUUUAUUACUUACAUUAAUUUUGCUAUAGCCUCGAAAUACAUACAAAUGUAAUCCCAUGCUUCAACGAGUUUUUAAUUCUCGUGUUGCUUUUUGUACUAGGAGUACAAUUUGUUUUUCUAGUUGACAUUCCUUUGAAAUUCAGUAUUUAAUUGCUUGUGGACUAUGAAGUAAAGAAAAAUUGUUUAUUUUCA
This is a long non-coding RNA of Salvia miltiorrhiza (redroot sage), 1028 nucleotides long. RefSeq lists it as uncharacterized. The record is from RefSeq and is a predicted model, not a curated record. Lineage: Eukaryota; Viridiplantae; Streptophyta; Magnoliopsida; Lamiales; Lamiaceae. The transcript has 2 exons.